This 433-nucleotide ribosomal RNA is filed under the name uncultured bacterium. RNAcentral's name for it is "partial 16S ribosomal RNA". It matches the Rfam family "Bacterial small subunit ribosomal RNA", at positions 29 to 507 of the family's 1533-position model. The record is from RNAcentral.
AACGAACGCUGGCGGCAUGCCUAACACAUGCAAGUCGAACGAGACCUUCGGGUCUAGUGGCGCACGGGUGCGUAACGCGUGGGAAUCUGCCCUUAGGUUCGGAAUAACACCCCGAAACGGCUGCUAAUACCGGAUAAUGUCUUCGGUCCAAAGAUUUAUCGCCCUUGGAUGAGCCCGCGUAGGAUUAGCUAGUUGGUAGGGUAAAGGCCUACCAAGGCGACGAUCCAUAGCUGGUCUGAGAGGAUGAUCAGCCACACUGGGACUGAGACACGGCCCAGACUCCUACGGGAGGCAGCAGUGGGGAAUAUUGGACAAUGGGCGAAAGCCUGAUCCAGCAAUGCCGCGUGAGUGAUGAAGGCCUUAGGGUUGUAAAGCUCUUUUACCCGGGAUGAUAAUGACAGUACCGGGAGAAUAAGCUCCGGCUAACUCCGUG